This 380-nucleotide long non-coding RNA is filed under the name Elaeis guineensis (African oil palm). RNAcentral describes it as "long non-coding RNA (EGUI_LNC062757)". Lineage: Eukaryota; Viridiplantae; Streptophyta; Magnoliopsida; Arecales; Arecaceae. The record is from RNAcentral.
AAGUUAGGGCGAGGUUUUUCUCCUGUCCCUAACAGGGCUGUGGGGGUACAUAUGGGCGUUGCAGGGCCCCUCCCCCCAUCCGAUCUAAAUGGAACCGGGCUUCGACUUUGCUCAAGUUAGGGCGAGGUUUUCCUUCUGUCUCUAACAGGGCUGUGGGGGCGCAUAUGGGCGUUGCAGGGCCUCUCCCCCCAUCCGGUCUAAAUGGAACCGGGCCUUCGACUUUGCUCAAGUUAGGGCGAGGUUUUUCUCCUGUCCCUAACAGGGCUGUGGGGGCGAAUAUGGGCGUUGCAGGGCCUCUCCCCCCAUCCGGUCUAAAUGGAACCGGGCCUUCGACUUUGUCGGGAUGAGGUUUCCCUUUUGUUUCUGAUACGGUUUGUUUG